CUCAAGUUGAAGGGCAUCAGCCACAGCAGAACAGUUCCCCACGGCUGAUGGGCACUCACAGGCAGGCAGGAGGCAGCGGUUCCGCACGACCUCCCAGCCCCCUCUGUGCCCAUUUUACAUCUGAGGCUGGCAGACGAGAAGGGCCACGGGAUUUUGAGCCCCAGCCUGAGGCCGGGAGGAGGGAGCUGGGGCAAACAGAAAGCCCAAAGGCAGGUCCGAUUUUGAAGAGUCAAUUUCCUUUGAAGAGGCAUCACCCACCCGGAGGUGGCAUCACCUGCCCAGGAGGUAUCACCUGUGCCUAGAGAAGGCAUCACCUGCCCAGAGGAGGCAUCACCUGCCCAGGAGGCAUCACCACCUGCCCAGAGCAGGCAUCACCCACCUAGAGGAGGUAUCUGUGCCUAGAGGAGGCAUCACCCGCCUAGAGGAGGUAUCACCACCCAGAGAAGGCAUCACCCACCUAGAGGAGGUAUCACCACCCAGAGGAGGCAUCACCCACCCAGGAGGUGGCAUCACCCGUGCCCAGAGGAGGCAUCACCGCCAGCCCAGGAGGCAUCACGCACCCAGAGGAGGCAUCACCCGCCCAGGAAGUGGCAUCACCUGUGCCCAGAGGAGGCAUCACCCACCAAGAGGAGGCACCACUACCAGCCCAAGAGGCAUCACCACCCACCUAGGAGGCAUCACCCCCCCUAGAGGAGGCAUCACCUGUGCCCAGGAGGCAUCACCCGCCCAAAGAAGGCGCCCCAAGUUGGCAGGGUGGUGGGGGCUGGGCCUCUCAGUAAAUGGUCCAGAGCUCCCCCUGGCAGAUCAACUGUUUCUUGGGGACUUUAAGAAGAAUUGGGGUACUGGGACUCCCACUUAGUAACCCAGGAGCCUGAGGUGGCCCACGGAGGAGUGCCCAAGCCCCCAGCAGCCAGACCAGCUCCA
RNAcentral lists this non-coding RNA (924 nucleotides) under Pongo abelii (Sumatran orangutan). Lineage: Eukaryota; Metazoa; Chordata; Mammalia; Primates; Hominidae. The record is from RNAcentral.